GUCUGGAGUGAAAGGCGACGGCUCAACCGUCGACGCGCUUCGGAAACUGGGGGACUUGAGGGCAGGAGAGGCGAGCGGAAUUCCCGGUGUAGCGGUGAAAUGCGUAGAGAUCGGGAAGAACACCGGUGGCGAAGGCGGCUCGCUGGACUGGCCCUGACGCUGACGCGCGAAAGCGUGGGGAGCGAACGGGAUUAGAUACCCCGGUAGUCCACGCCGUAAACGAUGGGCACUAGGUGUGGGAGGUAUCGACCCCUCCCGUGCCGGAGUUAACACACUAAGUGCCCCGCCUGGGGAGUACGGCCGCAAGGUUGAAACUCAAAGGAAUUGACGGGGGCCCGCACAAGCAGUGGAGCAUGUGGUUUAAUUCGACGCAACGCGAAGAACCUUACCCGGGCUUGACAUCCCCGGAACACCCGAGAGAUCGGGUGGCUCUACGGAGCCGGGAGACAGGUGCUGCAUGGUUGUCGUCAGCUCGUGUCGUGAGAUGUUGGGUUAAGUCCCGCAACGAGCGCAACCCUUGUCCCGUGUUACCAGCGUAAAGGCGGGGACUCACGGGAGACUGCCGGUGACAAACCGGAGGAAGGUGGGGAUGACGUCAAAUCAUCAUGGCCCUUAUGUCCGGGGCUACACACGUGCUACAAUGGCCGGCACAGCGGGAUGCGAAGGGGCGACCCGGAGCGAAUCCCUGAAAGCCGGUCCCAGUUCGGAUCGCAGGCUGAAACCCGCCUGCGUGAAGCCGGAAUUGCUAGUAAUC
This 754-nucleotide ribosomal RNA is filed under the name uncultured Bacillota bacterium. RNAcentral describes it as "bacterial SSU rRNA". It matches the Rfam family "Bacterial small subunit ribosomal RNA", at positions 587 to 1343 of the family's 1533-position model. Lineage: Bacteria; Bacillati; Bacillota. The record is from RNAcentral.